This 687-nucleotide small RNA is filed under the name Pongo abelii (Sumatran orangutan). RNAcentral's name for it is "retained intron". The record is from RNAcentral. Lineage: Eukaryota; Metazoa; Chordata; Mammalia; Primates; Hominidae.
AUGGUCAAGCUGUCCAUGCGGGUGUGCGUGUGCCGGCCAGGGGGAGAGGAAGAGUGGGUGGACUCCAGUGAGCUAGUGCCUGGAGACUGCCUGCUGCUGCCCCAGGAGGGCGGGCUGAUGCCCUGCGAUGCCGCCCUGGUGGCCGGCGAGUGCAUGGUGAAUGAGAGCUCUCUGACAGGAGAGAGCAUUCCAGUGCUGAAGACGGCACUGCCGGAGGGGCUGGGGCCCUACUGUGCAGAGACACACCGGCGGCACACGCUCUUCUGCGGGACCCUCAUCUUACAGGCCCGGGCCUGUGUGGGACCGCACGUCCUGGCAGUGGUGACCCGCACAGCUCUCCUCGGCACCAUCUACAGCAUCUUCAUCCUCUACCGAAACCGGGUGCCUCUGAACGAGAUUGUGAUCCGGGCUCUGGACCUGGUGACUGUGGUGGUGCCACCUGCCCUGCCUGCCGCCAUGACUGUGUGCACGCUCUACGCCCAGAGCCGACUGCGGAGACAGGGCAUUUUCUGCAUCCACCCACUGCGUAUCAACCUGGGGGGCAAGCUGCAGCUGGUGUGUUUCGACAAGGUGGGGCCGCAGGUGGGGUUGGCGCAGGGGAGCGGGACAGCCACAGGCGCCCCAGCCAGGCCUCCACACCCACGUUAUUCUCUCAGCAGCACCCACAGGAUGACAGGUCCUGUCUAG